AAUAGAUACCCAGGUAGUCCAUGCCGUAAACGUUGGGCACUAGGUGUGGGGGACAUUCCACGUUCUCCGCGCCGUAGCUAACGCAUUAAGUGCCCCGCCUGGGGAGUACGGUCGCAAGGCUAAAACUCAAAGGAAUUGACGGGGGCCCGCACAAGCGGCGGAGCAUGCGGAUUAAUUCGAUGCAACGCGAAGAACCUUACCAAGGCUUGACAUACACUGGACCGUUCUGGAAACAGUUCUUCUCUUUGGAGCUGGUGUACAGGUGGUGCAUGGUUGUCGUCAGCUCGUGUCGUGAGAUGUUGGGUUAAGUCCCGCAACGAGCGCAACCCUCGUUCUAUGUUGCCAGCACGUGAUGGUGGGAACUCAUAGGAGACUGCCGGGGUCAACUCGGAGGAAGGUGGGGAUGACGUCAAAUCAUCAUGCCCUUUAUGUCUUGGGCUUCACGCAUGCUACAAUGGCUGGUACAGAGAGAGGCGAACCCGUGAGGGUAAGCGAAUCCCGUUAAAGCCAGUCUCAGUUCGGAUCGU
RNAcentral lists this ribosomal RNA (527 nucleotides) under uncultured bacterium. Its description in RNAcentral is "bacterial SSU rRNA". It matches the Rfam family "Bacterial small subunit ribosomal RNA", at positions 777 to 1301 of the family's 1533-position model. The record is from RNAcentral.